GAUUUCUGGCUUGGUGCGCGCCGUCCGCUGCGGUUACGUAGUGUGUGCGGUUGUGCGCCUGCCAUCCUGCUGGUUAGUAUUCUGGGCCCUUCACUGGGUUUCAGGUACUGAUCGGCUCUUUUACUUUGAAAAAAUUAGAGUGUUCAAAGCAGGCUUGCGCUAUGAAUACAUUAGCAUGGAAUAAUAAUUUAGGACUUUUGUCCUAUUUUGUUGGUUUCUAGGACGAAAGUAAUGAUUGAUAGGGAUAGUUGGGGGUGCUAGUAUUCAGCGGCCAGAGGUGAAAUUCUCGGAUUCGCUGAAGACUAACUUAUGCGAAAGCAUU
Molecule: ribosomal RNA, 322 nt
Filed under: uncultured Eocercomonas
Lineage: Eukaryota; Cercozoa; Cercomonadida; Cercomonadidae
Also listed under: 1 other name
Description: SSU rRNA
Rfam family: Eukaryotic small subunit ribosomal RNA (bases 109-322)
Source: RNAcentral